AACUUAGUUGGUUAAAAGCAGUCGCCCGGCAAGCGAAAGACGCAGGUUCGAUUCCUGC
Molecule: transfer RNA, 58 nt
Filed under: Lasius niger
Lineage: Eukaryota; Metazoa; Arthropoda; Insecta; Hymenoptera; Formicidae
Rfam family: tRNA
About the family: Transfer RNA (tRNA) molecules are approximately 80 nucleotides in length. Their secondary structure includes four short double-helical elements and three loops (D, anti-codon, and T loops).
Source: Rfam by way of RNAcentral